UUCAGCAACUCCACCUCGGCACCAGUCCCCAUCCCGUGACACUAUCGCGACGGCGGCGUCACCUCGUCGAUCUCCGAUCCAACAUGGAUUACUUGGGGAAACUGUCUCCUACUCUUGGAGAAUCAUUUAAGCCAUAUCUAUCUCGCAAGUGGGGGAAACACUCGCCUACCAGCUACAAUCCGGCGUGGCAUUUGUUGAGGCAUGAAUCACCUCCACAAUCUGAAGC
RNAcentral lists this long non-coding RNA (226 nucleotides) under Salvia miltiorrhiza (redroot sage). RNAcentral describes it as "long non-coding RNA (SMIL_LNC012967)". Lineage: Eukaryota; Viridiplantae; Streptophyta; Magnoliopsida; Lamiales; Lamiaceae. The record is from RNAcentral.